CGACAAAUUACCUUUUCAUCACUUUAAUGAAUCUCUACCAAAUUUCAAGCUGAAAUACUUUCACUAAAAAAGGCAGUGCAUCUUCCAAGUCAAUUUCCAUCACAAGUGGAAAUUUGCAGUGAUUUACUUUCUAGUCUGGAGGCCAUAAAAAGAGAAAAUUCAACUAAUACAAUAGGAGCAGAUAUACAAAUCCUUCUUCUUAACCUUCCUGCCCCUUCUCGACCCUUAUUGAGCUGGGUUUCCAAUCAAAGGGUGGUUUAUGGCAAUCAUUUGGCAGACCAGUUGGCAAAAGCGAUUAGUAUAAUAGCUGUACGUCCUCCUGGAUAACAUACGAAAGUACAUCAUAAGCUGGGCAGAUGAACUGGAACCCCGAGGUGUCACGGAUCAAAUAUCAUCCAUUAUAUGUAGUCUGCUGUCCAUCUUUUUCAAACUGAACCAAUGUCAAAAGCAGCAUUCUACAACAAUUUUCAGCGGUCUGGUUAUUAUAGUCAAUUAUUACGCUGCUACUACCUUUCAUUCAAUCUGUAGGCCUUUUAUGUUUUGGAUUUUCUGGCCAGAUGAUAUACCGGAUAUGCGCCCUUUUUUCUUACUUUACCCCGAAGUGCUGUGGUUGGUUCCUGGUUUAAAAAUUUCUGUGAUAUACGCCUACAAAAUGAUCAUCAAACUUAUUUUGUUUAUUUAUGAUUAUGUCCAAAGCUCCAUUCGAACAAAAGAAAGCCAAACUCGACUUCCAGCCUACUCUCAGUCAUACGGAAUAUAUUUUCAGUAUCUUCUGUUAUAUUACAAAAUUUAUGCCUUAAUUAGAAUGGUUCAAAAGUUAAUAAAAUUAUUAUUGUUUUAAUCAAGUAAGUAAUUGUUAAUUAAAAAUCAAUAUAAUAAAAUGUUGGAAAAAAUUCCUUCCUUGUUCUCAAAAUUGCAUGCACUUUUACAAAAGCAGCAUUAAACGUCUGCAUAUGUUUUUCACUUUAGGCUUAAUAAUCUAAACAAUUAAAGUAUCACAUCACAAUAAGCAUAUCUAAUUAAAUGCAUGUUUAAGGCAUUCCUUUUAAUUUUGUGAGUAAUUUGUAACUAAAAUAAAAUGUUGUUUGGCUAAUCAGUUGAAUUAUAUCGAUAACAACAGUACGAAUAUGCACAUCAAUCAAAAUUCCUCAACGUUUUAAUUGAAGUAAAUUUGGACCGAAAAGACUAAAAUGCAUAUUAUGUGUAUCAUAAGAGAUAUUUCUUCAGUAGUGUCACACAAUAAAUAUGUUGAAUACCAAAUUUUCAUCAAUUAUUUAAGAAGUAUAUAAUCAAUAAAUAUAUAAUAUGUAAUAUCUAAACCAAUACUUAAAAGUGUUCUAAAAGUUUAAAAAAAAAUCUUGUGCUAAGGAAUGUAUUCAGAACGUAUGUGUUAGAUCCAUAUUUAUCAAUAAAUGUCAAAAUUAUGUUCUUCAUUUAAACAUUUUUGUCAUAAAUUAGCAGAUUAAAUUAACAUUUA
Long non-coding RNA from Stegodyphus dumicola, 1477 nucleotides. The record is from RefSeq and is a predicted model, not a curated record. Lineage: Eukaryota; Metazoa; Arthropoda; Arachnida; Araneae; Eresidae.